AUGGCCAUACCACAUUGAAAACACCGGUUCUCGUCCGAUCAUCGAAGUUAAGCAAUGUCGGGGCGUCUGUUCCUCAUGUUAGAGGCGACCAUUUCUUUUGGAGCUAAGUCGGCCUGCCACUGAGU
This 125-nucleotide ribosomal RNA is filed under the name Cordylochernes scorpioides. The record is from RNAcentral. Lineage: Eukaryota; Metazoa; Arthropoda; Arachnida; Pseudoscorpiones; Chernetidae.